UUUACAGGAGGAUAGCCUUUAGAAAUGAAGAUUAAUACCUCAUAGUAUUAUUGAUUGGCAUCAAUUAAUAAUUAAAGCUUCGGUGGUAAAAGAUGAGUAUGCGUUCUAUUAGCUAGAUGGUGUGGUAACGGCAUACCAUGGCAACGAUAGAUAGGGGCCCUGAGAGGGGGAUCCCCCACACUGGUACUGAGACACGGACCAGACUCCUACGGGAGGCAGCAGUGAGGAAUAUUGGACAAUGGGCGCAAGCCUGAUCCAGCCAUGCCGCGUGCAGGAAGACUGCCCUAUGGGUUGUAAACUGCUUUUAUACAGGAAGAAANCCGCUCUACGUGUAGAGNUCU
This 341-nucleotide ribosomal RNA is filed under the name uncultured bacterium. RNAcentral describes it as "bacterial SSU rRNA". It matches the Rfam family "Bacterial small subunit ribosomal RNA", at positions 132 to 471 of the family's 1533-position model. The record is from RNAcentral.